GACGUACCGUGCGAACGUUAUUCGGAAUCACUGGGCUUAAAGGGCGCGUAGGCGGUCUAUCAAGUCUUGGGUGAAAUCCCACGGCCCAACCGUGGAACUGCCUUAGAUACUGACGGCCUCGAGGGAGAUAGGGGCAUGCGGAACUGUAGGUGGAGCGGUGAAAUGCGUUGAUAUCUACAGGAACUCCGGUGGCGAAAGCGGCGUGCUGGAUCUCUUCUGACGCUGAGGCUCGAAAGCUAGGGGAGCAAACGGG
This 253-nucleotide ribosomal RNA is filed under the name uncultured bacterium. RNAcentral describes it as "partial 16S ribosomal RNA". It matches the Rfam family "Bacterial small subunit ribosomal RNA", at positions 524 to 776 of the family's 1533-position model. The record is from RNAcentral.